RNAcentral lists this ribosomal RNA (629 nucleotides) under uncultured bacterium. RNAcentral describes it as "bacterial SSU rRNA". The stretch from base 1 to 536 matches the Rfam family "Bacterial small subunit ribosomal RNA", at positions 338 to 873 of the family's 1533-position model. The record is from RNAcentral.
CCUACGGGAGGCAGCAGUAGGGAAUAUUGGGCAAUGGAGGCAACUCUGACCCAGCCAUGCCGCGUGCAGGAAGAAGGCGUUAUGCGUUGUAAACUGCUUUUAUAUAGGAAGAAAUAGACCUUGCGAGGUAAGUUGACGGUACUAUAUGAAUAAGCACCGGCUAACUCCGUGCCAGCAGCCGCGGUAAUACGGAGGGUGCAAGCGUUGUCCGGAUUUAUUGGGUUUAAAGGGUGCGCAGGCGGUUUAUUAAGUCAGUGGUGAAAGACGGUCGCUCAACGAUUGCAGUGCCAUUGAUACUGGUAGACUUGAGUGGGAUUGAGGUAGCUGGAAUGGAUAGUGUAGCGGUGAAAUGCAUAGAUAUUAUCCAGAACACCAAUUGCGUAGGCAAGUUACUAAGUCUCAACUGACGCUGAGGCACGAAAGUGUGGGUAUCAAACAGGAUUAGAUACCCUGGUAGUCCACACUGUAAACGAUGAUAACUAACUGUUGGCGUUCGUAGUCAGUGGUACGAGAGAAUACGUUAAGUUAUUACCACCGUCGGGUAGGUACGCCGGCGACGGUAGAAACGUUAAACGGUAAAGUUAGUACGGCGUGAGACGUGCCGACGGACGACGACGAGGGAGGUUAGG